GUUCUUAUUUGUUUGGCUGCUAGCACUUUAUCCUGAUAAUAUAGUUAGAGGCUACAAGAGACUACAGAGAGCAAUGCUUCCUUUAUAAAGUGCCGGUCAUGCUUUCACUGAGAAAGGUUGGUGAGCACAUUAGCUAUUCACCCAUUCAAUUUCUAACCAAGUCUUGGAGUCUGCCCGGUCAUCCCACAGUCUUGAUUGCCGUUUUUCCAAAGAGUUUUGGCUAUUUAUGUGUGCUUUUGCUCCACUGCACCCCUGGCUUCUACACUAAAAACUGAUUUGUCAAGCUGGUGAGAACGAUGCGUUCGGAGCGGGCACUGGAAACCAAAGUCAUGCUCAACAUUAUAGCCUCAUGCACCAUCUAAAAUUUGUUCAAGGAGCGAACUGCUCGAAUUUUCAGUGAGACCCUGUUUGCAUUCAUAGAAACUGCUAGCAUUCUUAUUUGUAGCCUCUGUUUUCCCCUUUUUUUCCCGCUGGGUUGCAAAUCCUAUCCGUACACUAAUUAACUCCAAAGUGAAAUCAACAUGCCAUCUAGCACAACAGAAAAUCUCAACAUCAUGAUGCUUCAGUUCAAUGGUUUCUGCAUCUGAGCAGAAUAGAGAAGUUCAUGCAACAUGAAGGCACUGCACUAGAUCUGGCAGCGGUUCCAGCAUCAAUCUUGUACUACCUCUGCCCCAUAAUGUAAGAUGUUUUUGCAGUUUAAUUUGAACUGCAAAAACGUCUUAUAUUAUGGGCCGGAGGGAGUAGAUAGCAUUUGUAGUAGGAUCGAUGUUUUAGAUAGAAGCCUGCCGUCUUGUCAUCUUUAAAUGGAGGUUUUAUUCAUGCAUCAUUUCAAACUAUUGGCAUGUAGGAUCGAUGUAAGAUGUUUUUGCAGUUUAAUUUGAACUGCAAAAACGUCUUAUAUUAUGGGCCGGAGGGAGUAGAUAGCAUUUGUAGUAGGAUCGAUGUUUUAGAUAGAAGCCUGCCGUCUUGUCAUCUUUAAAUGGAGGUUUUAUUCAUGCAUCAUUUCAAACUAUUGGCAUGUAGGAUUUCUAGUCCUUUUAACAUCUGACAAUGUGCUAUAGUGGAAGCCUGAAUAGUUUGUUCCAUACCCUUCCAGAUUUUGUUUCCAAAUGCAUGCUGCAUUGCUUCUCCUUGAAUUUGCAAAUUUCGUUCUAGCUUUUUUUAUUCUCAACUAUAACUAUUGUACUAUCCUGAGACAACUUUUCUGAACACUCCUUGCUUUGAAAUCAGGAAUUUGCAGAAUACUUGAUGAUCAAAUAUUAUAUUCCCUCUAUCCCAAAAUAAGUCUCACCUUUGUACUAUCUUUAGUACAAAGUUGUACUAAUGUUGAGACGCUUAUUUUGGGACAGAGGGGGUAUUUUUAAUUAUGAAAAUUUAUUGAAGUGAGGAUUUUCUCUAACUUUCAUUGAGGAGUUGACGAGCUUCCUGAGGCAAGAAAAGAUGAUUUGCCCCUACGGUGUAUUACAUCUUGGUCCACAACUUGGCCUUAGUAACCAGUAGGGGAGCUGGCAACCAUGUCCUCUAACCCUUUCUGCCCACCCUCUAUGCUCCCUUAUCUUUCCAAACUGAGCUGCCACUCAGGCAACAAUUACACUCCUCUAAAGGGUACUACUACUGUACCACACACCUCAGUAUUAUGCUACAGUGCUGAUGUCUCCUCUUCUCCUAAGAAAUAAGUGGUAUUGAGUUGUUUCUACAUCCAUAUAGAUUGUGGCAUGUGAUGUAUUUCAAUUAUUCAAUAUGCUUCCCAUUCAUAACGUAUUGCACCGUAACAAUCCAUCAUGAUUGUAAUUGCACUCACUCUCUCCAGAUCCUUGACUACUCUCAACUUAGUUUGGGUGGUAGCAAUGUCUGAUAAGAUGGAUACGAGGCUACAGAGGCAUUGCAUCCUUUAUAUGGGUGGGUCAUGCUUACAUCUGCAAGUGUCUUUGCAGGAUCAGAGGUUCAGUCUGUACCUAAGAAGGCCAAAAAAAUUGAUACGCUUUUCUAGAGAUCAACUGAUGGGGUCAGCAUUUGUUGCAUUUGGCAUCAUAUUAUUUGUGGGUUUCUUCUAUGCCGCCGUUGUGUCCAAAAUGCUUCCGCCUUACGAGAACUGGCUUCUGUCUGCCAUCCAAAAUGAUAGGUAUUACUGCCUACUCGUGCCCUUGACACUUCCUAUGAUAAUUGUGGCUGUCUAUCUGCAUUGGCUAAGCAUGAAGAUGUUCAAGCAUGCCUGAAGAACCACAAAUUAGUUUUACGGAUGAAGCCUGCAAUCCUUGCUGAAAUGGUGGAUCAUGGGGAUCAUGAAGACAAUUUUGGCCAAUAAAUAUGC
Long non-coding RNA from Triticum dicoccoides, 2311 nucleotides. RefSeq lists it as uncharacterized. The record is from RefSeq and is a predicted model, not a curated record. Lineage: Eukaryota; Viridiplantae; Streptophyta; Magnoliopsida; Poales; Poaceae. The transcript has 3 exons.